Molecule: ribosomal RNA, 393 nt
Filed under: uncultured bacterium
Lineage: Bacteria
Description: partial 16S ribosomal RNA
Rfam family: Bacterial small subunit ribosomal RNA
Source: RNAcentral
AUAUGGAGGAUCCGAGCGUUAUCCGGAUUUAUUGGGUUUAAAGGGUGCGUAGGCGGCCUUUUAAGUCAGCGGUGAAAGUCUGUGGCUCAACCAUAGAAUUGCCGUUGAAACUGGGGGGCUUGAGUAUGUUUGAGGCAGGGGGAAUGCGUGGUGUAGCGGUGAAAGGCAUAGAUAUCACGCAGAACCCCGAUUGCGAAGGCCGCCUGCCAAGCCAUGACUGACGCUGAUGCACGAAAGCGUGGGGAUCAAACAGGAUUAGAUACCCUGGUAGUCCACGCAGUAAACGAUGAUCACUAGCUGUUUGCGAUACACUGUAAGCGGCACAGCGAAAGCGUUAAGUGAUUCACCUGGGGAGUACGCCGGCAACGGUGAAACUCAAAUGAAUUGACGGGG